CAGUCGCCGCGGGAAUACGUAGGGUGCGAGCGUUAAUCGGAAUUACUGGGCGUAAAGCGUGCGCAGGCGGUUAUAUAAGACAGAUGUGAAAUCCCCGGGCUCAACCUGGGACCUGCAUUUGUGACUGUAUAGCUAGAGUACGGUAGAGGGGGAUGGAAUUCCGCGUGUAGCAGUGAAAUGCGUAGAUAUGCGGAGGAACACCGAUGGCGAAGGCAAUCCCCUGGACCUGUACUGACGCUCAUGCACGAAAGCGUGGGGAGCAAACAGGAUUAGAGACCCCUGUAGUCCCUGUCUCUUAUAA
Molecule: ribosomal RNA, 301 nt
Filed under: uncultured bacterium
Lineage: Bacteria
Description: partial 16S ribosomal RNA
Rfam family: Bacterial small subunit ribosomal RNA
Source: RNAcentral